CCUACGGGAGGCAGCAGUGAGGAAUAUUGGUCAAUGGGCGCGAGCCUGAACCAGCCAAGUAGCGUGAAGGAGUACUGCCCUACGGGUUGUAAACUUCUUUUAUCAAGGAAUAAAGGUAGGCACGUGUCCCUGUUUGUAUGUACUUUAUGAAUAAGGAUCGGCUAACUCCGUGCCAGCAGCCGCGGUAAUACGGAGGAUCCGAGCGUUAUCCGGAUUUCUUGGGUUUAAAGGGAGUGGAGAGGGGUUGUUAAGUAAGUUGUGAAAGUUUGGGGCUCAACCGUAAAAGUGCAAUUGAUACUGCAGUCUUGAGUACAGUGGAGGUAGGCGGAAUGCGUGGGGUAGCGGUGAAAUGCUUAGAUAUCACGAAGAACUCCGAUUGCGAAGGCAGCCUACUAAACUGCCACUGACAUUGAUGCUCGAAAGUGUGGGUAUCAAACAGGAUUAGAUACCCGUGUAGUC
Molecule: ribosomal RNA, 459 nt
Filed under: uncultured bacterium
Lineage: Bacteria
Description: partial 16S ribosomal RNA
Rfam family: Bacterial small subunit ribosomal RNA
Source: RNAcentral